ACACCAGGUCAAGUGAGAUUACUCGAUGAGUUUGAGAAUAUCAAUAUGCAGAGAAAAAGAAACUUACUAGGAUUCCCCUAGUAAUAGCGAGUGAACCAAGAAUAGCCUAGCUUGAUAGUUAGGCCCCCGACGUUCAAAUUGUAAUAUGCAAAAGUAUCCUUAGUGGCAGACCAGACCCUAGUACCCUAAAAAAAGGCAUCAAAGAGGGUGAAGCCCCAUUGGGCUUGGACCCUAUUGUACCACAUAGUGCUGUAUGAGAGUUGAGUUGUUUAGGAAUGCAACUCCAAUUGGGUAGUAAAUUCUAUCCAAGGCUGAAUAUGUGUUAAAGAUCGAUAGCGAACAAGUACUACAAGGGAAAUAUGAAAAGAAGUUUGAAAAAUAGUUGAAAAGUGCUUGAAAUUAUUAAAAAAAAUUGAUAGGGGGCCAACAAUGCACCCCAAUAAGAUGGGAAACUGUGAAAGCUAGUUUGCCGAUUAGCUUGGGGUUUCAAUAUGCCUAUAGAGACAUUGUCACUAUGAUUGUGGAAUGUAGCACAUGCUGUCUUGACAUGCCUUGGCACUUGUAUGCUUACGGCAUCAACUUACGGGCUCUCCAUCCAACCCAUUAUGAAACACAGACCAAAUAGUCCAACAUGUGUGCAAGUCAAUAGGCUAGGAAAUCCAUAAGGCACAAGGAAGCUGAUUGGCAGGAUCCCUUAUGGGUGCACCAUUAAUCGACCUUCAUCUUUUUCAAAGUGUUCAAGUGCAAGCAUGCCUAUCAGGACUUAAAAUAUGGUAAACUAUGCUUGAGUGGGUUAAAGCCAGAGGAAACUCUGGUGGAGGCUCAUAGCAAUACCUACGUGCAAAUCAUUUGUUUGACUUAGGUAUAAGGGUGAUAGACUAAUCAAACCAUAUAGUAGCUAGUUACCUCCAAAGUUUCCUUUAAGAUAGUUAGAGCCUUUAGUGAGUUCUAUCGAGUAAAACCAAUGAUUAGAGGCAUCGGGGGCACAACACCCUCGACCUAUUCUCAAACUUUAAAUAGGUAGGAUGAGUAAAUGGUUCAUUAAGGCACGCCAUGGAAUUGAGAGCUCCAAGUAGGCCUUUUUGGUAAACAAAACUAACAAUGUAUGAUGAACUGAAAGCUAGGUUACAGUCCCAAUAAUGCUAAAUUAGAACCCAUAAAAGGUGUUGGUCAAUUAAGAUAGUAGGAUGACAGUCAUGGAUGUCAAAAUCCACUAAGUAGUGUGUAAUAACUCACCUGCCAAAUCAACUAGCCUAAAAAAUAGAUGGCAAUUAAGCACCGGCCCAUUCCUCAUCAUUAGGGCAAUGAUGAAGCCUCUAUAAAUAAGAGGGCAUGAUGAUCACCAUAAAACUUGGGGUGUGAGCCUAGAAGGAGUGGCUAUCAAUAUAGAUCUUGGUGGUAGUACCAAAUAUUCAAAUGAGAACUUUAAAGGCAAAGAGCAGAAAGGUUUCAUAUGAACGACACUUGCACAUAGGUUAGUUGAUCUUAAGACAUGGGGGAAGCCCAUUCGACAGCAUGACUGAUGUGAGUUUUGAAAGGUAAUUGGGUUAAAAUUCUUGAAUUAAGAUACGACAGUUGACGUUAGCAUUAAAGAGUCCAAAGACAUCAGUAGAGGCUUUAGGAAGAUGUAUCUUUUCUAUUUAAUGGCUUGCCCACCUUGGAAAUAGCUUAAUUAGAGGUAGGGUCCAAUAAUCGAAAGAGUAUCGCACAUUAUGUGGUGCUCUGUGCACCCCUGAUGGCCCUUAAAAAUUUAGAGGAUCGAGUGUUAUUUAUGCUUGGUCAUACUCAUAAAUGCAUCAGGUCACCAAGGUGAAUAGCUUUUGGUCGAUGGAACAAUAUAGACAAGGGAAGUUGGCAAAAUGGAUCCAUAACCUCGAGAAAAGGAUUAGUUCUGAUAGCUAGGUAUAAGGGUCCUAGUCCUGAACCCAUUGGCUUUCAGUGCAUUACUUAAGCUACUUUUAUGGUGAGAGCAAUCACCCUAUUUGGCUAGGGGAUGGACUGGGAAUAGCUCUUUCAAGGGCCUUUCUUAGAUGAUGAACAAUUUGACUCAAAAUAGGUAUGGAUAAAGGGAAUCUGAUUCUUUAAUUAAAACAAAGUGUCGUAAUGGUCCCUAUUGAUUCUUACGCAAUGUGAUUUUUGCUCAGUACUCUAAAUGUCAAAGUGAAGAAAUUUGACCAAGCGGAGGUAAAUGAUGGGAGUAACUAUGACACUCUUAAAGUAGCUAAAUGCCUCAUCUCUAAUUAGUGUGCACAUUAAUAGAUUAACCAAAUUCCCACUAUCUCUAUCUACUAUAUACCAAAACCACAGCCAAAGGAAUGGGCUUCGUGGAAUUAGAGAGGAAAGAAGACCCUAUUAAGUUUGACUCUAGUCUGACUUUAUGAAAUAACUUGAGAGGUAUAGGAUAAGUGGGAGCCCUUGGGUGAAAUUGAAACACCAUUACUUUUAACAUUAUUUUACAUAUUCCAUGAAUAAGAGGUGAGGCAAGACCCCUUCUUUUGGACCCAGGGCCAGCCUUCGUCAAUUGAUUUAGGCAAAAAACAUUGUCAGGUGGGGAGUUUGGCUAGGGUGGCACAUCUAUUAAAAGAUGAUGUAGGUGUCCAAAGAUGAGCUCAACAAGAAUAGAAAUCUCGUGUGAAAUGAAAAGGUAAAAGCUCAUUUGAUUCUAAUUUCUAGUACAAAUACAAACCAUGAAAGUGUGGCCUAUUGAUCCUUUAAACCUCCGAAAUUUGAUGCUAGAGGUGUCAGAAAAGGUAGCCAAGUGUUCAUAGCAACAUUGCUUUUUGAUCCUUCAAUGUCAACUUUUCCUAUCAUUGUGAACCAAAAUUCACCAAGUGUUGGAUUGUUCACCCACUAAUAAAGAAUGUGAGCUAGGUUUAGAUCAUUAUAAGACAGGUUAGUUUUACCCUACUGAUGUUAGCGCCAUAAUAGUAAUUCAACCUAGUAUAAGAGGAACUAUUGGUUCGCACAAUGGUCAUCGCACUUGGUUGAAAAUCUAGUGGUGCGACACUACCAUGCACUGGAUUAUGACUAUAAGCCUCUAAGUUAGAAUCUAAGCUAGAAGCAAUGCACAUGCCCGUAGCCCAAUUGCUAACCCAUAGUAGGGGCCCAUGGUCCCAAGGCAUCUAUUAUAGGUGUAGCCUCUAUGAUGAACAAGUCGCACAGGCCUCCUUGGAGCUUAAUUCCCAUCGAGCAGUAGGUACAAUCCUUUAUA
RNAcentral lists this ribosomal RNA (3211 nucleotides) under Durio zibethinus. RNAcentral's name for it is "eukaryotic LSU rRNA". It matches the Rfam family "Eukaryotic large subunit ribosomal RNA". The record is from RNAcentral. Lineage: Eukaryota; Viridiplantae; Streptophyta; Magnoliopsida; Malvales; Malvaceae.